UCCGGUUUGUCACCGGCAGUCUCGCAUGAGUCCCCAACUAAAUGCUGGCAACAUGCGACGGGGGUUGCGCUCGUUGCGGGACUUAACCCAACAUCUCACGACACGAGCUGACGACAGCCAUGCACCACCUGUGAUCCUGCCCCGAAGGGAAACCGUGUUUCCACGGUGAUCAGGAACAUGUCAAACCCAGGUAAGGUUCUUCGCGUUUCGUCGAAUUAAACCACAUGCUCCGCUGCUUGUGCGGGUCCCCGUCAAUUCCUUUGAGUUUUAGCCUUGCGGCCGUACUCCCCAGGCGGGGCACUUAAUGCGUUAGCUGCGGCACGGCGGGAGUCGACACCCGCCACACCUAGUGCCCAUCGUUUACGGCGUGGACUAC
RNAcentral lists this unclassified non-coding RNA (376 nucleotides) under uncultured Solirubrobacterales bacterium. Its description in RNAcentral is "contains 16S-23S intergenic spacer region". The record is from RNAcentral. Lineage: Bacteria; Bacillati; Actinomycetota; Thermoleophilia; Solirubrobacterales.